RNAcentral lists this non-coding RNA (21 nucleotides) under Caenorhabditis elegans. The record is from RNAcentral. Lineage: Eukaryota; Metazoa; Nematoda; Chromadorea; Rhabditida; Rhabditidae.
UCUACGGAGCAAGAGGGAAAA